UUGGCCUACGGGAGGCAGCAGUGGGGAAUAUUGCACAAUGGGGGGAACCCUGAUGCAGCGACGCCGCGUGGGCGAGGAAGUAUUUCGGUAUGUAAAGCCCUAUCGGCAGGGAAGAAGAAAUGACGGUACCUGACUAAGAAGCCCCGGCUAACUACGUGCCAGCAGCCGCGGUAAUACGUAGGGGGCAAGCGUUAUCCGGAUUUACUGGGUGUAAAGGGGGCGCAGACGGCAGCGCAAGCCAGGAGUGAAAGCCCGGGGCCCAACCCCGGGACUGCUCUUGGAACUGCGCGGCUGGAGUGCAGGAG
This 305-nucleotide ribosomal RNA is filed under the name uncultured bacterium. RNAcentral describes it as "bacterial SSU rRNA". It matches the Rfam family "Bacterial small subunit ribosomal RNA", at positions 334 to 654 of the family's 1533-position model. The record is from RNAcentral.